Molecule: RNA transcript, 4967 nt
Organism: Culex pipiens pallens (northern house mosquito)
Lineage: Eukaryota; Metazoa; Arthropoda; Insecta; Diptera; Culicidae
Gene: lqf
Gene name: epsin-1
Exons: 14
Source: RefSeq, a predicted model, not a curated record
GUUUGAAGCAAACGUCAAAAUGAUGCGCACCUGUGUGGGUGUCUGACAGCAGAGCUUUUAUUCAAUCGCGUUGUAAAUAUACCGUAUGUUGUGUGUAAUUGUGGUGGCGACGUAAAAAAAAAGGAGAGCUGAGCUCCACCGUGGAAAACAAAUUGAGGAAGUGACCAGUGGGACGGGGACGGCGACCAAAUUCCUCCUGAAUCAUUCAAGUUCAACGCUAGAAGAAGGACUCGUUUUUACUUUUGCAGAGUGCAUCUCCGACAAAGAAACAGUGAAAAUCCCGUUCCAAAAGUGUGGCCUCCGCAGCAUUAGAAGAGGAGGGGCAAACCAGCAGCGGAGGUUGUAGAAAUAUCUGGACUUUAGUUGAUGUAAUUGUGUGCGCCAGUGUGAGCAAGCAAAAGGCAAGAAGAGCACACACGUCCAUCAUCGAAAGUAAGCGACUGCUUACAGUUUCCUGCCGUGGCCCCCCGGAACAUCGCCGGACACCUACGCAAAUUCCAAAUUUUGCAUGAUUUUGGCUCGUACCACAAAGCUGCUGCUUCGGAGACGUUCGUGCUGCGCGCAAUGAUUGUUCCCCUCAAAUAACUAACUUAGAGCAGUUCUAAAACCUGCGUGUAUUGAAAAUAAGAACCAAACAAAAGUCCGGAGAAACACUAGGUUCGUGUUCGUGCGUGUGCGUGUUAUUUUGCGAGAGAAAGUUUAGUAGACUAUCAAAAGUCCACUCAUCAAAUCGACCAAUCAAUCAAUCAACCAACAUCACCAGCAGCAGCCAGUUUCUGGACACGAGGCAUACUCCUGUUUGACAACAUAUUUUCACUCACUCUCGGAGGGCGCCCGCAAUAGCUGCAACAACAACAACAACACCACCUUUAGCCACAGACAUAUACGCAAUCACGCAAACAUCUCGUAACUCAUCCAAACGGCCGCGGCGAUACGAGUUUAUAUUGUUCACGCAUAAAGUUUCGCUAAUAGUGCUACUUCCAGCAUCGCCUCUCUUCGGGUAGCCACCAGCAGCAAUCAUUAGACCACGAUGAAACGAAACGACACGCAAAUGAACGUUGCUGGCAUACGCAGGAACAUCAAGAACCUUGCCCACAACUAUUCCGAUGCACAGAUCAAGGUACGCGAGGCGACCUCCAACGAUCCAUGGGGACCGUCCUCCACGAUCAUGGCGGAGAUCGCCGACCUGACGUACAACGUGGUGGCCUUUUCGGAGAUUAUGCAAAUGAUCUGGAAGCGAACGAACGAUCACGGCAAGAACUGGCGCCACGUGUACAAGGCCUUGCUGCUGCUGGAAUAUCUGAUCAAAACCGGCACCGAAAAGGUCGCGCAGCAGUGCAAGGAGAACAUCUAUGCCAUCCAAACGUUGAAGGAUUUCCAGUACAUGGAAGAAGGUAAGGACCAGGGAAUGCACGUCCGUGAGAAGGCAAAACAGUUGGUGUCCCUGCUGAAGGAUGACGAGAGAUUGAAAAAUGAACGUGCCCGGGCCCUCAAGGCGAAGGAGCGUUUUGCCAGGACGGCCAGCGGCUUCGGGUCGGACGGAUCCAUCGACGGACCAACCCAGCGAGAUUCACGGCCGCCCAACUGGGGUGAGGGUGAACCUACGGCGGCCGCUGCGGCGGCGGCGGCUGCAGCAGCAGGUCGACCAGUUUCCGAGAUUGAGUUUGUUCGGCCGCAAACCGUGGGCGAAGAGGAGCUACAGCUGCAGCUGGCGAUGGCAAUGUCCCGCGAAGAAGCCGAACAGGAAGAGCAGAAGCGACGAAGCGACGAUGUGCGGCUGCAGCUGGCACUGAGUCAAAGCGAACAGGACUUCAAAACUGACGAUAAACCCGAAAGUUCCGCUUUGGUGGAUCUGCUGGACAUUUCGUUCGGAGCCGCCGGUAUUUCCAGUCCGCACCAGCAGCCGGGACCGUCCACCAGCGUUGAUCCGUGGGGAGUGCCUGUCGCCGGAGGAUCGAGACCACAGUCGUUGAAUAUUCCGGAUAAGCAACAGCAACCAGCAGCGACUACCGACCCCUGGUCGCGGACAUCGUCUCCUCCGGUGGCAGAUCCGUGGUUAAACAGUGCCUCUGCCCUGCCCCCGCCAGCAUCGUCGAAGCCACCGCUCAUGGGAGCAGCAGGACCUGGCGCAACGGGUGGACAGUUGGACGCCUGGGCCCCGUUGCGAACACAGUCGCCAUCGGUUACGUCCGGUUCGUCCGUCGAAGGAUGGCUACAGAACGGUGCGGGUGCAACGGCGCCAGCCGGAACAAAUGGAAACGUCGACCCGUGGCUCAACAAGUCAGCUACGCCUAGUGCGCCUCUAAACGACGCGUGGCAGCCCAAACGAGCCACUCCAGUGCCUACGGCCGAUCCUUGGCAAGCUAACGUUGGUGCAGCCAAACACGAUCCAUGGGCGCCAGUGUCCGGAAGUUCCGACGGAGCAUUCGCCCUUCCUGCCAACCGACCAUCUCCUGUGGGAGCCAUUACCUCGCCUACAUCUGACCUUGAUGAGUUCGACAUCAUCACAAAGAGGAGCAACAAUGUCGUGAAUAACAACCUAAACAACAACGGAGGCUCCCUCCUGGACGAUCUGGACCCGCUGUCCUCAAGCAACACUAGCUCCACCAGCAAUUCCGCCUCGGCACCUGCGAAGAAAACGCCGGCGUCCUUCCUCGGGGAAAACUCGGCCUUGGUGAAUUUGGACAACUUAAUCAAGCCUAUCUCAACGGCACCCGGUGGAACGGGCAGCCCCGCGGCCUACAAUCCGUUUGGAGAAUCGGCGCCGGUGCAGAAAAACCUAUUCCAGCAGAAUCAACCACAGGUUCCGUCCAUCAACCAGUUAAAACAAUCGCCCUUCCCCGUGACGCUGGGAAGUGUUAACCAGGACCCCUGGGCCCCAGUCAACCCAACUGCUGCCGCGCAAUUGGAAGAAAACGGCUUCGACUUUGAAAUAAACUCCUCAACCACUAACAUUUCUUCGCUGGGCCCGAACGCGGAACCCGGCACCGAUCUUGAUACUAACAAUAACGCUUGUGACAUUGACUACGCGCCGGAAGCUAGCAACGAGGAGUACCUUUUCAACACUGAAUUCCUCUCCACCUUUGCCGGCAAAUCCUUCCGAGCGAACGUUUCGGACGGAACUGCCGCUCCGAAACCCUUCAGUAACGAGACUCUCGAAAACUCUAAGCAGUUAGAUGACUUGUACGACUUUGGGUUCGGCAUCGACGAUCAAUAUGACGUUAAUACAAACUUAAAAACUGACCAUCCAAUGGGAGCUUGGACGCUAAAGUAAAGCACACACAAACACUCACCUAACAUAACAAGAAACAAGAGCUAAGCUAACCACCUGGCCGAACCUAUGAUAGCGCUAAAGAAAAAACAGUCUGAAUAAUCUGAACAACAACAACGCUCCUUGGAUGAAUCCGCAGUCAUCGAAUCCAUUCCUAUCGUAAAGAGAGAAGAACUAAUGGCAAAUCCUGGACUGCAAGUCCAACCACAGAGUUAUUGCUAUCCAUUGAGAAAGAAGCAGCAGAUGCAGGCAAAUGCGCGCGUGGCAUGGAAAUAGAACAGAAACUAAAACGGUGGACGAUACUUAUGCACACACACACCCUCUUUCUCCGAAUUGGUGUCGAUCAGCUAAACUUCUAGUUAGCUCAAUAAAACUGUGUAGUAGAAACAAGAAAAAAAAUGAUAGAAGCAAACAAUAGCAAAACCAAAUACUUGUUUUGUCGCGUCAUUUAUCAAUCACUGAGCCGAACAUUUAGCGACUGCUGAAAUGAUAAAAGAAAGAACUAAGAAACACAUUCAAAAUGCCUUACUACUUGUUUAAUAAAGAUAAAUAAAGCUGCUAGAACAAAAAGAUAAACUCUUGAACUUGUUGUUGACUGCAAAUCGCUAGUGUGCAACAUUAAACUAGACUGUUCUAGCAUAAAAGACGAAAUAAACAGAACAACAAAAUUUGGGUCACUGAAAUACUGAUAAACAGUUAGUGUAAUGAUGGUUGGGGGGAUAUUUUUUGUACGGCUAAACAUAACGACUACCACGAAUCAAUUUUGAACGUUUAUAUAAGCAAAACACAGAACUUUUUUCAUAAAUGUGAUAACUGUUACCACAUACUUUUACUAGAAACAAAAGUGUAGGUACAUCCAAAUAACUAUACGUCGUGACUGUGACAAACAAUUGGCUCUAGAUUUUUCUACUCAUCGGAACUUUCACGACAACAAACCUAAGCUGAACGAAAAAAAACUCCCCACAAUGAGAUUCAUUUGCAAAUUAUUUUCCACAUAGACUUUAGCAUCGCUUACCGCGCCAUGCCCCCGCAUCUCGUGGGAGACACCCCGACGACCACAUUAAGCUUUAUUUAAACGAAACACAAGAAAAAAACAAAUAUUCGUUUCCAAUACUAUGGGUAACAUGCAAAGUAUUUUUUCAUUCUCUUGCGGUAAGAAAACAAAAAAAGUAUCACUAAAAAUCAUAUUUUCUUUUAUUGGGUACUGUGAGAGUAGGAGAGGAACAGUUUUUUUUUUCUUGCAAAUAUUUAUUGAAACCUAGUUAUUAUUUGUCGUUACGAGCAAGCAAAAAAUUAAAACACACAGUAAAGUAAACCGUAGUAUAUUCGAGUUUUGUUUAAACCUUGCUGCUUAACCAUCGAUGAUUUUGAGUUAUUUAUUAGCUUGGAAUGAUUUUUUGAACACGGUGGCAAGCUAAGAAAGGAUUAGGUGAGGAAAGGAUGGAAUGAACUGGUAUUUUAUUAUUCGUUCCUUCGAUAAAAUAUAGAUAUAUCUGAAACUGGACUUGUAAACGAAAAUGAACUUUCUUUUCUAAAUUUAGACUACAAAUUGACUAAUUCUAAGGAAUACCCAUUCGAUGGGAAUCUGAUCAAUAUAAAAUGGAACUUGUAUAAAAUGAAGAAAAAAAAAGAUUAUAUAGAACGCAAGAAUGGAAUUAUAUAUUUUUUAAAAAAUAAAUUGAUUUCAACACUUGAA